GAUGAACGCUGGCGGCGUGCCUAAUACAUGCAAGUCGAGCGAACGGACGAGAAGCUUGCUUCUCUGAUGUUAGCGGCGGACGGGUGAGUAACACGUGGAUAACCUACCUAUAAGACUGGGAUAACUUCGGGAAACCGUAGCUAAUACCGGAUAAUAUUUUGAACCGCAUGGUUCAAAAGUGAAAGACGGUCUUGCUGUCACUUAUAGAUGGAUCCGCGCUGCAUUAGCUAGUUGGUAAGGUAACGGCUUACCAAGGCAACGAUGCAUAGCCGAACGGAGCGGGUGAUCGGCCACCCUGGAACUGGGACACGGUCCAGACUCCUAAGGGAGGCAGCAGUAGGGAAUCUUCCGCAAUGGGCGAAAGCCUGACGGAGCAACGCCGCGUGAGUGAUGAAGGUCUUCGGAUCGUAAAACUCUGUUAUUAGGGAAGAACAUAUGUGUAAGUAACUGUGCACAUCUUGACGGUACCUAAUCAGAAAGCCACGGCUAACUACGUG
This 497-nucleotide ribosomal RNA is filed under the name uncultured bacterium. Its description in RNAcentral is "partial 16S ribosomal RNA". It matches the Rfam family "Bacterial small subunit ribosomal RNA", at positions 28 to 507 of the family's 1533-position model. The record is from RNAcentral.